UGGGGAAUAUUGCACAAUGGGCGCAAGCCUGAUGCAGCCAUGCCGCGUGUGUGAAGAAGGCCUUCGGGUUGUAAAGCACUUUUGUCCGGAAAGAAAUCCUUGGCUCUAAUACAGUCGGGGGAUGACGGUACCGGAAGAAUAAGCACCGGCUAACUACGUGCCAGCAGCCGCGGUAAUACGUAGGGUGCAAGCGUUAAUCGGAAUUACUGGGCGUAAAGCGUGCGCAGGCGGUUUGCUAAGACCGAUGUGAAAUCCCCGGGCUCAACCUGGGAACUGCAUUGGUGACUGGCAGGCUAGAGUAUGGCAGAGGGGGGUAGAAUUCCACGUGUAGCAGUGAAAUGCGUAGAGAUGUGGAGGAAUACCGAUGGCGAAGGCAGCCCCCUGGGCCAAUACUGACGCUCAUGCACGAAAGCGUGGGGAGCAAACAGGAUUAGAUACCCUGGUAGUCCNCGCCCUAAACGAUGUCAACUAGUUGUUGGGGAUUCAUUUCCUUAGUAACGUAGCUAACGCGUGAAGUUGACCGCCUGGGGAGUACGGUCGCAAGAUU
Molecule: ribosomal RNA, 547 nt
Filed under: uncultured bacterium
Lineage: Bacteria
Description: partial 16S ribosomal RNA
Rfam family: Bacterial small subunit ribosomal RNA
Source: RNAcentral